GAAAAUCUCCUUUGGCUGCUAACGCGUGGUCAAGAGGAACUGAUGAAGAGCAGUCCAGAGAGUUGAGCUCAGUCUCUCGGUGCCUGUGCUUCUUUGACCACCCCUCUAUUGGUGCCCCACCUGCCCUCUAAAUGUAGGUACAUAUGCAGCAUGCAGUUUUUAAAAUAAAGCUUAUUUUAGUUUGGCAACGAGAUCGUGACUUUAGGUUUAAACCAUCACAAAGGAGGAAGUUUUGAAUCAAAAUGUUUAUUCUUUGUAUCUGACAAGCAUGUUAGAAGUCUGAACUACUAACCUAUUGCUAUUUCCAAAUAUGGGCCUGACAUUAUGCCAGAGU
This is a long non-coding RNA of Bubalus bubalis (water buffalo), 334 nucleotides long. RefSeq lists it as uncharacterized. NCBI's taxonomy places the organism in Eukaryota, Metazoa, Chordata, Mammalia, Artiodactyla, Bovidae. The record is from RefSeq and is a predicted model, not a curated record. The transcript has 3 exons.